AGGAUUAUAGUUAAAUUAACAUUUGAUUUGCAUUCAAAAAAUAUUGAGUAUUCAAUUUAUCUUA
Molecule: transfer RNA, 64 nt
Filed under: Neuronema laminatum
Lineage: Eukaryota; Metazoa; Arthropoda; Insecta; Neuroptera; Hemerobiidae
Description: tRNA-Ala
Rfam family: tRNA
About the family: Transfer RNA (tRNA) molecules are approximately 80 nucleotides in length. Their secondary structure includes four short double-helical elements and three loops (D, anti-codon, and T loops).
Source: RNAcentral